GGAAAUGGACAAGGUAGAAGGGACUU
Molecule: non-coding RNA, 26 nt
Filed under: Cricetulus griseus (Chinese hamster)
Lineage: Eukaryota; Metazoa; Chordata; Mammalia; Rodentia; Cricetidae
Source: RNAcentral